AUGCCAUUUUACUCUUCACAGAGGCCUCAAAGCUUUGAAGUUGGGGAAUGGAAUGGACACUCUAAAUGCAGUUUUGUAAUCACUCAUCGAGGUGCAAUGAUGGAAAAAAAAAAAAAAACAGCUAAAGCUGAGACUGCAUUUCAGAGGCGUUCUCUGAGCGCGGGGCUUGGUGCUCUCUCUCGCUCUGUGCCACCAUGGGACUCGGCCAGCACGAACGUCGUCACCAGUGCUCAACCAGUGGGGCCGUCCCAUCCUGAUGUGUGAAACCUCCACAACUGUGAGUCAAAAUAAUCUUCUUUCUAUGAAGCCUGUCUUAGUUAUCUGUUAUAUUAGUAAAAAGCUGGAGAAUACAGACGGAAUGCAAAUGAUAAAGGCAUUGCCUCAACUUGCCUAUGGCAUCAAAGCUUGAUAUAAAUACUCCAUCAUCAUUGCUGUUUCCACCUCCCAAUACUGAACCUAGGAGCAACUAACUCACUCUGUCACUAAGGACAGGCUAACUUCUAGAUCAAAACAAGAGGGUGGUGCAGGCUGCAGAGUGAGUUUUUCUGUUCACCUAGCAGGAGAGCAGACCAAUCCCUUCCAACAGGGCACUCAGGUUUGAAGAAACAGAGCUGCCCUAGACACUUAGAUUCCAAGCUGCUCUGGUCAUCGUGUCCAUGUCAGUCACCCAGGAGAGAGAAAGAGCACAUAGUAGAGUGUAUGCAACUUUGCUUUUUGUAUGGUUUUGUUGUCGAUGUUUUUUGAAAGGGAGGGACUGCAAAAUAGCAAAGUCAAUAUGAUUCACCUGCCUUUACCAACAAUGUAACCAUGCAUGCAUUAGACAAGAAGAGAAUAGGCAUCAGCUGGGAGAUGCACAGACUGGUGCCACGGCUGUGCAGAGAAGUCUUCUCUUACAAGGUGUUUACACUAAAGUAGCAGACCAGGAAAAAAAAUCUUUCUUUAGAUGCAUUUAUAAGGUAGGAGAGAAAGAAAGAAAUUGGACUAUGAAUUUCACAUUAUAUCUUCAAACUAUCAGAGUACUAGUAGGUGGAGACAACCUACUUCAGUUAAAGUCAUUGCUGUCACAUGGAAGCCAACAUUAGCAGUUUGAGACAUGCCUCCCUGACUAAACAUUGUUUAAAGUUUUGUUUUUGAAUUAAUUAAUAUUUACAUAAUACUAAAAACCAUGAAGUGUAUUAAGCAGAAUCCUGCUAUUGUAUUUCAUGCUUUGGUGCAUAAAAUGCUAGAAAAAAAUGUAGCUGUGUGAAUAUUUUAAAAGAGACAAAGUUCCCUUACUGAUAGUAAAAGGAAAAUGCGAUUAUCUUAUUUACUUAAGAGGUCAAUUUAAAUCUAUCAUUGUUAUGCAAGCAUUUUCACCACACACAAAUUCAACUGGGAGUUGGAAAUAUUUUUUGUUUUAAAUAUUAGACAAUCCAUAAACAGUAGCUUAAAAUGUGAUGGAUAUUUUUUUUCUCUAGCAAAACUCACUAUCAUAAGCCAUCAAAGGUUGUUUUAGGAUCCAAGUGACGACCUCAGGGUUUAGCUGUUUUCCAUCUUUCAUCUCAGGAGUCUUUCAAAUCCGAGCCUUUCCCCAGGCUCUCCUCAUGAGUGUGAAAGCUCUGUUGGAACCGGGAUCACCCGGGGUGAUGAAUGUGGUGAAUGGAGUGGGCCGAAAUCUGAAGAAAGGCUUUUCCCUUGAAAGCAGAACCACAGAUUUUACAGGGCAAUUUCUGUGUGACCGAAUUUCCCACAACAUUACAGGGCUGCAAGGUGAGUAUUGUUAGUGAAACUGCAGCCAGAGCUUUGUUAAUAUGGAAUAAAUGGAAAUGACCUGGGGGAAACCUGCA
This is a long non-coding RNA of Oryctolagus cuniculus (rabbit), 1826 nucleotides long. The record is from Ensembl. NCBI's taxonomy places the organism in Eukaryota, Metazoa, Chordata, Mammalia, Lagomorpha, Leporidae.